Molecule: ribosomal RNA, 497 nt
Filed under: uncultured bacterium
Lineage: Bacteria
Description: partial 16S ribosomal RNA
Rfam family: Bacterial small subunit ribosomal RNA
Source: RNAcentral
GAUGAACGCUGGCGGCAUGCCUAACACAUGCAAGUCGAGCGAACGGACGAGAGGCUUGCUUCUCUGAUGUUAGCGGCGCACGGGCGAGUUACACGUGGAUACCCUACCUAUAAGACUGGGAUAACUCCGGGAAACCGGCGCUAACACCGGCUAAUAUUUUCUACCGAACGGUUCAAACUUGAAAGCGGGUCUUGCUGUAAAUCAUUGAUUGAUCCGCGGUGCAUUAGCUAGUUGGUAAGGUAACGGCGUACCAAGGCAACGAUGAAUAGCUAACCUGAGAGGAUGAUCAGCCACACUGGAACUGAGACACGGUCCAGACUCCUACGGGAGGCAGCAGUAGGGAAUCUUGGGCAAGGGGCGAAAGCCUGACGGAGCAACGCCGCGUGAGUGAUGAAGGUCUUCGGGUCGUAAAACACUGUUAUUAGGGAAGAACAUAUGUGUAAGUAGAUGGGCACAUCAUGACGUUACCUGAUGAAGAAGCCACGGCUAACUACGUG